CCUGUUUGCCAGGCUGGUCUUGAACUGCUGACCUCAAGUGAUUUGCCCACCUUGACCUUCCAAAGUACCGGGAUUACAUGGGUGAGCCACCGCAUCCAGCCAAAGCUGUGUCUUAACAAGCUAUGUUUUAACAUAGUAGCCCUAACUUUUUUUUUUUUUUCAAGGCAAAGCCUUUAUUCAUUUUAAUGUUGCCCAAGUGUAAGAAACAUAUAAUCUGGAUUUAUUAACUUUAGAUAACAAUAAUUUAAAAGAUAGAGAAAGGUCUCAUAUUACAGAAAUUUAAAAGCUGACUAUACAGUAAAUGAUGAAGAAAACUAACAAUAGAACAGGACAA
This is a long non-coding RNA of Sapajus apella (tufted capuchin), 334 nucleotides long. RefSeq lists it as uncharacterized. The record is from RefSeq and is a predicted model, not a curated record. The transcript is spliced from 2 exons. NCBI's taxonomy places the organism in Eukaryota, Metazoa, Chordata, Mammalia, Primates, Cebidae.